Molecule: unclassified non-coding RNA, 348 nt
Filed under: soil metagenome
Description: partial contains 5.8S ribosomal RNA, internal transcribed spacer 2, and large subunit ribosomal RNA
Rfam family: 5.8S ribosomal RNA (bases 1-120)
Source: RNAcentral
GAUGAAGAACGCAGCGAAAUGCGAUAAGUAAUGUGAAUUGCAGAAUUCAGUGAAUCAUCGAAUCUUUGAACGCACAUUGCGCCCGCCAGUAUUCUAGCGGGCAUGCCUGUCUGAGCGUCAUUUCAACCCUCAUGCCCCUAGGGCGUGGUGUUGGGGAUCGGCCAAAGCCCGCGAGGGACGGCCGGCCCCUAAAUCUAGUGGCGGACCCGUCGUGGCCUCCUCUGCGAAGUAGUGAUAUUCCGCAUCGGAGAGCGAUGAGCCCCUGCCGUUAAACCCCCAACUUUCCAAGGUUGACCUCAGAUCAGGUAGGAAUACCCGCUGAACUUAAGCAUAUCAAUAAGCGGAGGA